This 497-nucleotide ribosomal RNA is filed under the name uncultured bacterium. RNAcentral describes it as "partial 16S ribosomal RNA". It matches the Rfam family "Bacterial small subunit ribosomal RNA", at positions 28 to 507 of the family's 1533-position model. The record is from RNAcentral.
GAUGAACGCUGGCGGCGUGCCUAAUACAUGCAAGUCGAGCGAACAGACGAGGAGCUUGCUCCUCUGACGUUAGCGGCGGACGGGUGAGUAACACGUGGAUAACCUACCUAUAAGACUGGGAUAACUUCGGGAAACCGGAGCUAAUACCGGAUAAUAUAUUGAACCGCAUGGUUCAAUAGUGAAAGACGGUUUUGCUGUCACUUAUAGAUGGAUCCGCGCCGCAUUAGCUAGUUGGUAAGGUAACGGCUUACCAAGGCAACGAUGCGUAGCCGACCUGAGAGGGUGAUCGGCCACACUGGAACUGAGACACGGUCCAGCCUCCUACGGGAGGCAGCAGUAGGGAAUCUUCCGCAAUGGGCGAAAGCCUGACGGAGCAACGCCGCGUGAGUGAUGACGGUCUUCGGAUCGUAAAACUCUGUUAUUAGGGAAGAACAAAUGUGUAAGUAACUAUGCACGUCUUGACGGUACCUAAUCAGAAAGCCACGGCUAACUACGUG